This 802-nucleotide long non-coding RNA is filed under the name Pongo abelii (Sumatran orangutan). Its description in RNAcentral is "lincRNA". The record is from RNAcentral. Lineage: Eukaryota; Metazoa; Chordata; Mammalia; Primates; Hominidae.
CCCUUGAGGAGGCCUAAAAUGAAUGAACGCGGCUGUGCCUCCUGAGCAGGCUCACAGUUGUGGGUGGGGGACAGAAGGGUGUCCAUGCCUAAGGUCGACGGCGGUAAGACAGACGUUCUUCCCAGGAGAUCAGUUCCAGAGACGGAGGUCUCGCUAUGUUGCCAUACUGGUCUCAAAAUUCCUGGCCUCAAGUGAUCCUCCUGUCUCAGUCCCUGAAGUGCUGGGAUUACAGAACAGGUGGAGAAGUAUGAAGAACGAGGAACACUGCCAGGGGAGUUUCUUCCUCUGCAAAAUAAGGGAGUGUGUACUGAAUUACCUUUUCCAGCUCCAACAUCCAGGAUUUCAGCACUACCUGCACAGUAGUGGGGGGAGAGAUAGAGGAAGCAGGGAAGAUAGGAAAGCACUCUAAGCCGGUGGCUGGGCUUCCGUGGUGGCUGGGACAGCAGCAGUAGUGCUGUCCAUCUGCUCGUCCGAGGGGUGGCACAUCCUAGCCUCUAUCUUUUCCCUAGAGAAGAUCCCUUCGUCUGCUCUUCCCCCCCCCCCCCCCCCCCCCCCCCCCCCCCCCCCCGUCUCAGCCUCAGCCUUUUAGUGUGUGAACAGUUCUGGUGUGACUCAUCAGUGCUUUUGUUAGCGCCUUUACCAGCAAGUACUUGUUAAACACUUAAAUCUUACAAAUGGAAAGAAAAUUCCAUGAUAAAUUUAAGUAUAAAAGUCAACCAAAAUUCUGAGUCUCGGACAAGACUGGUUAAAAAUCGUUCUACAAUGAAACUAAUAUAUUAAAUUCAAUCAUAUAAAACUUUUA